RNAcentral lists this ribosomal RNA (253 nucleotides) under uncultured bacterium. RNAcentral's name for it is "partial 16S ribosomal RNA". It matches the Rfam family "Bacterial small subunit ribosomal RNA", at positions 524 to 776 of the family's 1533-position model. The record is from RNAcentral.
UACGUAGGGGGCGAGCGUUGUCCGGAAUCAUUGGGCGUAAAGAGCGUGUAGGCGGUUCGGUAAGUCGGCUGUGAAAGUCCAGGGCUCAACCCUGGGAUGCCGGUCGAUACUGCCGGACUAGAAUCCGGAAGAGGCGAGUGGAAUUCCUGGUGUAGCGGUGAAAUGCGCAGAUAUCAGGAGGAACACCAAUGGCGAAGGCAGCUCGCUGGGACGGUAUUGACGCUGAGACGCGAAAGCGUGGGGAGCAAACAGG